RNAcentral lists this ribosomal RNA (460 nucleotides) under uncultured bacterium. RNAcentral describes it as "partial 16S ribosomal RNA". It matches the Rfam family "Bacterial small subunit ribosomal RNA", at positions 338 to 795 of the family's 1533-position model. The record is from RNAcentral.
CCUACGGGUGGCAGCAGUGAGGAAUAUUGGUCAAUGGGCGCAAGCCUGAACCAGCCAAGUAGCGUGAAGGAUGACUGCCCUACGGGUUGUAGACUUCUUUUGUCAGGGAAUAAAGUGCGGCACGCGUGCGUUUUUGUGUGUACUUUGUGAAUAAGGAUCGGCUAACUCCGUGCCAGCAGCCGCGGUAAUACGGAGGAUCCGAGCGUUAUCCGGAUUUAUUGGGUUUAAAGGGGGCGUAGAUGGGUUGUUAAGUCAGUUGUGAAAGUUUGCGGCUCAACCGUAAAAUUGCAAUUGAUACUGGCAGUCUUGAGUACAGUUGAGGUAGGCGGAAUUCGUGGUGUAGCGGUGAAAUGCUUAGAUAUCACGAAGAACUCCGAUUGCGAAGGCAGCUUACUAAACUGCCACUGACAUUGAUGCUCGAAAGUGUGGGUAUCAAACAGGAUUAGAUACCCUUGUAGUC